GACGAACGCUGGCGGCGUGCUUAACACAUGCAAGUCGAACGGAAAGGCCCUGCUUGCAGGGUCCUCGAGUGGCGAACGGGUGAGUAACACGUGGGUGAUCUGCCCUGCACUUCGGGAUAAGCCUGGGAAACUGGGUCUAAUACCGGAUAGGAGCCAUUUUUAGUGUGAUGGUUGGAAAGUUUUUUCGGUGUAGGAUGAGCUCGCGGCCUAUCAGCUUGUUGGUGGGGUAAUGGCCUACCAAGGCGGCGACGGGUAGCCGGCCUGAGAGGGUGGACGGCCACAUUGGGACUGAGAUACGGCCCAGACUCCUACGGGAGGCAGCAGUGGGGAAUAUUGCACAAUGGGCGCAAGCCUGAUGCAGCGACGCCGCGUGGGGGAUGACGGCCUUCGGGUUGUAAACUCCUUUCGCUAGGGACGAAGCUUUUUGGGACGGUACCUAGAUAAGAAGCACCGGCUAACUACGU
This 464-nucleotide ribosomal RNA is filed under the name uncultured bacterium. RNAcentral's name for it is "partial 16S ribosomal RNA". It matches the Rfam family "Bacterial small subunit ribosomal RNA", at positions 28 to 506 of the family's 1533-position model. The record is from RNAcentral.